RNAcentral lists this non-coding RNA (23 nucleotides) under Arabidopsis thaliana (thale cress). Lineage: Eukaryota; Viridiplantae; Streptophyta; Magnoliopsida; Brassicales; Brassicaceae. The record is from RNAcentral.
AGGCAGCGGCGGAGAAAGCUUUU